AUUUAUAUAGUAUAAGUAUUAUAAUUGAUUUCCAAUCAAAAGAUCUAUUUAAUAGUAUAAAUA
RNAcentral lists this transfer RNA (63 nucleotides) under Serica sp. NS-2020. RNAcentral's name for it is "tRNA-Gly". The record is from RNAcentral. Lineage: Eukaryota; Metazoa; Arthropoda; Insecta; Coleoptera; Scarabaeidae.